ACGAACGCUGGCGGCGUGCUUAACACAUGCACGUCGAACGGAAAGGCCCUGCUUUUGUGGGGUGCUCGAGUGGCGAACGGGUGAGUAACACGUGAGUAACCUGCCCUUGACUUUGGGAUAACUUCAGGAAACUGGGGCUAAUACCGGAUAGGAGCUCCUGCUGCAUGGUGGGGGUUGGAAAGUUUCGGCGGUUGGGGAUGGACUCGCGGCUUAUCAGCUUGUUGGUGGGGUAGUGGCUUACCAAGGCUUUGACGGGUAGCCGGCCUGAGAGGGUGACCGGCCACAUUGGGACUGAGAUACGGCCCAGACUCCUACGGGAGGCAGCAGUGGGGAAUAUUGCACAAUGGGCGGAAGCCUGAUGCAGCAACGCCGCGUGCGGGAUGACGGCCUUCGGGUUGUAAACCGCUUUCGCCUGUGACGAAGCGUGAGUGACGGUAAUGGGUAAAGAAGCACCGGCGAACUACGU
RNAcentral lists this ribosomal RNA (466 nucleotides) under uncultured bacterium. RNAcentral describes it as "partial 16S ribosomal RNA". It matches the Rfam family "Bacterial small subunit ribosomal RNA", at positions 29 to 506 of the family's 1533-position model. The record is from RNAcentral.